Molecule: ribosomal RNA, 1020 nt
Filed under: Triticum aestivum (bread wheat)
Lineage: Eukaryota; Viridiplantae; Streptophyta; Magnoliopsida; Poales; Poaceae
Description: partial small subunit ribosomal RNA
Source: RNAcentral
AUGUCCGUUAAUGGUUCAGAAGUUGCGCCCGUAUUGGGGCGUCGGGAAGUAGAGAUAUCUGGGGUCAACCAUUACCUGAAUGAGGCCCAACGAGACGCGUUGAAGUACCUAAAGGAGAAGGCCCAUGAGAUGCAGCUCGGCGUUAUACGGAUGACGGACGCCUUUGCUCCCGGCAUGGAGGCUGCAACUCGGGACAACGAGCGUUUGGAGAAGGAAAUAGUCCGGCUCAAGACUCUGCUCGGGGAAGCCGAGCAGAAGAAUGAAAAUCUCUCCAAAAGUCUUAGUGACUCCAUGGUACUUGAAAGGCGUAUGACCGAGUUGAGGAACCAGCUCAAUUCCAGCAACCAACAGCUCCAGGACAUCCAAAAAGAGGCCCAAAAGACUACUGCCAAACUUGUGCAAGAACAAGAGGCGUGCCAGGCGGCCUGGGAUGCAUCCGGCCUACUUCAGCAGGAGCUCAAGAAGAGCCAGGCUGAGUGCGACCAGCUGAAGGCCGAGAAGACCAGGCUGGGUGACCAAAUUAAACUGCUCGAGUAUAGUCUGAAGGAAUCCAACCUCGUCCGCCGCAAUGCUCGAGACGAAGUAGAGCAAGCCAAGCAGAUUGUCGAUGGUGAACCAUAUCUUCUCCAAUGCCGAUUUGGAAGCAACAGCUAUGCCGCGCUAACUCAAGUUUGGCACCACGCAGAGAUCUUCGCCGGCCUGCCCCAGAGUGCUGCGAGCGCCCACAAAUACUAUCAAGGGCUCAAUGAUCCUGAGCAGGAGGUGCUUCGGGCUUUCUGGGCGCAGUUCCAAGAAACCAGCCGGCUUGACCUUCUCCCCGAUAGACUGAAGCAAAUCGGCGAGCUGCUCAAUCUGAUCAAGCCGACAAUGGAAGAGAUAUUUAUGACAUUGUGGCCCAGGGAUGACGUUCCGGCCAACUUCUUCGACUUAGCAAUCCGACUCCAGCGCGCCCCGCCCCAGAUAAUGAAGUUGAAGUCUUCAAAGACCGAGAAGAAGCUCGCUAAGCAUGGGCAACGCUAA